Scatophagus argus is the source of this 1094-nucleotide long non-coding RNA. RefSeq lists it as uncharacterized. The record is from RefSeq and is a predicted model, not a curated record. The transcript has 3 exons. NCBI's taxonomy places the organism in Eukaryota, Metazoa, Chordata, Actinopteri, Scatophagidae.
AGUACUUUGCAAAGGACAGAACCUACAAUUAAUGUCAGUGCAAUAAUACAGUUUUCUGCAUUUGUAGUUCAUUUUCUGAAGGGGAAGCUUGUCUGUUUUAUUGCUUACUGUAAUGGACAGUAUCAUGCCCGUGAAGAAUUCUUCUGUGGAACAAUGGUUGUAUGUUUUCCUCCUGUCCCACAAAUCCACUAAAUCUCCCCUAAAAAUCUGCUCUCUUCCACUCAGCUGGUGUUUGCCACUGCAAGAUUGGCCCUGCUGGCAGGACUCCCUCACCCUUCUUGAUCUGCUGGUAUGGCAAGCUGCUGGCAUCUCAACAGACUGGCAUGUUUGGACUGUCCUCGCCUGACAUGUUGGAGAAGGCCUCCUCCUCCUACCCAUUAACUCAGACUAGCCUGGCUGUCUCAUCUGACCGCUCGCUGUCCCACAAUGUUUCUGUCCCCCUCCUGCGUCAUCACUGAGCAUAAAAGCUCGCUCCAAUCCCAAACGGCCACAGCAUCGAGCCUCUUAUCUCACAUCACGGGUCACACCAGCGGUACGUAUGGGAUUGAUUGUCCUCUUCUCACAGAGUGUGUGUCAUUGGCGCUGACUAGCAGCACUCUCCAUUAAUCACAGACUGAUCGCAGCUGAACCUGAAUUUCACACAAAUUGCUCAGCGUGUUGGCCUUCAUCCCCUUUCAGUUUCCCAUCAGCUAAACUCCGGAGGACUACAGAGUGGAAGGUGGAUUGAUGUGUAGCAAUAAUGGGCUCGUGUAGAACUCAGCCAGCCAACAGGAUUAACAGCGUGGGAUCAGGCCUGUCUCUUAAAUGUGGCAGCAGUCAGUGGAUAGCACUAUAGCUGCUCUCACUGCCCUGCUUCCUUAGCCUCACUGCAUUGACUCUUUGUGUGUCUGUCACUGCGCAUCGAUGCAGCACUGGAACAGGAGAGGAGCACACAGCGUUCAGUUCUAUCAGCAGAGUGGCAGGUCUAAUGGGUAGCCCGUCUGGCCGGUCUUGGCCUGACCUAGCCAAGCUGUCACUGUGAUCUGCCCAGCCCUGAAUACCAAUUAUUGGAUAAAAAGGGUUUCACAAUGCUCCCGCUUGGACUGGCUCACUAC